AUGCCCGCUUGCCCUCGUGACUUUGGAAAAUGGCGGAAAAGUCAGGGGGGAAGUGGGCUGA
RNAcentral lists this microRNA precursor (61 nucleotides) under Drosophila ananassae. Its description in RNAcentral is "Dan-Novel-16_pre stem-loop". The record is from RNAcentral. Lineage: Eukaryota; Metazoa; Arthropoda; Insecta; Diptera; Drosophilidae.